RNAcentral lists this ribosomal RNA (433 nucleotides) under uncultured bacterium. RNAcentral's name for it is "partial 16S ribosomal RNA". It matches the Rfam family "Bacterial small subunit ribosomal RNA", at positions 29 to 507 of the family's 1533-position model. The record is from RNAcentral.
AACGAACGCUGGCGGCAUGCCUAACACAUGCAAGUCGAACGAGACCUUCGGGCCCAGUGGCGCAUGGGUGCGUAACGCGUGGGAACCUGCCCUUAGGUCUGGAAUAACUCGCCGAAAGGGGUGCUAAUACCGGCUCUUGUCUUCGGACCAAAGAUUUAUCGCAUUUGGGUGGGCUCGCGUUGGAUUAGCUAGUUGGUAGGGUAAAAGCCUACCAAGGCGACGAUACAUAGCUGGUCAGAGAGGAUGAGCAGCGACACUGGUACUAAGACACGGCCCGGACUCCUACGGGAAGGAGCAGAGGGGAAUAUUGGACAGUGGGCGGAGGCCUGAUCCAGCACUGCCGCGUGAGUGAUGAAAGCCUUGGGGUUGUAAAGCUCUUUUACCCGGGAUGAUAUUGACAGUACCAGGAGAAUAAGCACCGGCUAACUCCGUG